Molecule: ribosomal RNA, 519 nt
Filed under: Triticum aestivum (bread wheat)
Lineage: Eukaryota; Viridiplantae; Streptophyta; Magnoliopsida; Poales; Poaceae
Description: partial small subunit ribosomal RNA
Source: RNAcentral
AUGUUUUUUCUGCUGGCCUCCCGUCCCUACAUGUUGCCUUACCCUGUUAACCGCCAGAGGUAUGUCCAGCUGUGCCAUGAUUCAAUCACUCUUCUGGGCAGAUGCCACGUCCGCGACCUGCUCAGGGCCAUAUCUUACCAGACGGAGCGCUUGAUGGAAGGACAAACACUUAAAACCACAAGAAAUACCUGCUCUUUGUAUCGCACAGUAAGUCAACUUGACAAAGGAUGUAAGCUUGCCGCAAAGCUGAUCCACACAAUAGAGGGAGCAGGAAGAGGUACGAAUGCUGAUGGCACCCUCGAGAUGAUCUUCGAGGUUUGGGUGGAGAUGUUAUGCUACACGGCCUACUCGUGUAACGAGAAAUCUCAUGCCAAAAACCUGACAAGCGGUGGUGACCUCAUGACAAUCGUUGCACUUAUGAUGGUAUACAUGUCAAAUGGCUUUAUUAUUCAGAAAUCAAAGGAGGAGGAGGAGAAGAAGAAGACGAGCGAUGAGGAGGCUGGCACUUCGUCGACUUAG